CCUACGGGGUGCAGCAGUGAGGAAUAUUGGUCAAUGGCCGAGAGCCUGAACCAGCCAAGUCGCGUGAGGGAAGACGGCCCUACGGGUUGUACACCUCUUUUGUCGGGGAGCAAAGCGAGUCACGUGUGACUCAUUGAGAGUACCCGAAGAAAAAGCAUCGGCUAACUCCGUGCCAGCAGCCGCGGUAAUACGGAGGAUGCGAGCGUUAUCCGGAUUUAUUGGGUUUAAAGGGUGCGCAGGCGGAGUUGUAAGUCAGCGGUCAAAGUGCGGGGCUCAACCCCGUACAGCCGUUGAAACUGCAUGCCUUGAGUGCGCGAGAAGUAUGCGGAAUGCGUGGUGUAGCGGUGAAAUGCAUAGAUAUCACGCAGAACUCCGAUUGCGAAGGCAGCAUACCGGCGCGAAACUGACGCUGAUGCACGAAAGCGUGGGUAUCGAACAGGAUUAGAUACCCGUGUAGUC
This 459-nucleotide ribosomal RNA is filed under the name uncultured bacterium. Its description in RNAcentral is "partial 16S ribosomal RNA". It matches the Rfam family "Bacterial small subunit ribosomal RNA", at positions 338 to 795 of the family's 1533-position model. The record is from RNAcentral.